RNAcentral lists this transfer RNA (89 nucleotides) under Actinomycetota bacterium. RNAcentral describes it as "Actinobacteria bacterium (freshwater metagenome) tRNA-Ser". It matches the Rfam family "tRNA". From Rfam's summary of the family: Transfer RNA (tRNA) molecules are approximately 80 nucleotides in length. Their secondary structure includes four short double-helical elements and three loops (D, anti-codon, and T loops). Lineage: Bacteria; Bacillati; Actinomycetota. The record is from RNAcentral.
GGAGAGGUGGCAGAGUGGUUGAAUGCGGCGGUCUUGAAAACCGUUGAGGGCUUUGUCCUCCGGGGGUUCGAAUCCCUCCCUCUCCGCCA